RNAcentral lists this non-coding RNA (23 nucleotides) under Arabidopsis thaliana (thale cress). The record is from RNAcentral. Lineage: Eukaryota; Viridiplantae; Streptophyta; Magnoliopsida; Brassicales; Brassicaceae.
GAACGGCCAUGCACCACCACCCA